UACGUAGGGGGCUAGCGUUGUCCGGAAUCAUUGGGCGUAAAGAGCGUGUAGGCGGUCCGGUAAGUCCGCUGUGAAAGUCGGGGGCUCAACCCUCGAAUGCCGGUGGAUACUGUCGGGCUAGAGUGCGGAAGAGGCGAGUGGAAUUCCUGGUGUAGCGGUGAAAUGCGCAGAUAUCAGGAGGAACACCUAUGGCGAAGGCAGCUCGCUGGGACGUAACUGACGCUGAGACGCGAAAGCGUGGGGAGCAAACAGG
This 253-nucleotide ribosomal RNA is filed under the name uncultured bacterium. RNAcentral's name for it is "partial 16S ribosomal RNA". It matches the Rfam family "Bacterial small subunit ribosomal RNA", at positions 524 to 776 of the family's 1533-position model. The record is from RNAcentral.